GCCGGUGUAGCUCAAUCGGUAGAGCAACUGAUUUGUAAUCAGUAGGUUGCUGGUUCGAUUCCGGUCACCGGCUCCA
RNAcentral lists this transfer RNA (76 nucleotides) under Clostridia bacterium. RNAcentral describes it as "tRNA-Thr". It matches the Rfam family "tRNA". Rfam says of the family: Transfer RNA (tRNA) molecules are approximately 80 nucleotides in length. Their secondary structure includes four short double-helical elements and three loops (D, anti-codon, and T loops). Lineage: Bacteria; Bacillati; Bacillota; Clostridia. The record is from RNAcentral.